AUAUGCAUUAGAACGAUCGGCUAAUGAAUUAUAACACCAUCGUUUUUAAGCUCUCCUAAGUUCAUGGAUGCAUAUAUGGAGUAUGGCAUGACGUUAAUUGAAGCUCCUAGAUCUAACAUAGCAUGUUCAAAUUUAGUAUUGCCUAUAACACAUGGAAUUGUAAAACUACCCGAAUCCUUGCAUUUAGGGGGUAGUUUUCUUUGCAAAACAGCGGAAACAUUCUCACUUACCUGGACCACCUCUUUGUUCGAAAUUCUCCUUCUUGUUGUGCAUAGUUCCUUCAAAAACUUGGCGUACCUAGGUACUUGCUUAAUUGCGUCAAGAAGAGUUAUAUUGACUUGCUGAUGUGUAAAUUAACUAGCACUCAAAUUAAACCCUCUUUUUAUCAAUUGUAGCAAUGUAUGUAAGUAGGGAUCGUUCUAGACCGGGGAUUAGGAGGGAUUGCAAAAUCACUUGGACAUGACUCAAAAACUUAAAAACAAGUUUUAAACACUAAAAUAGACUCAAAGAAUGCAAAACUAAACUUUAAAACACCAAAACAAACCAAAA
This 549-nucleotide long non-coding RNA is filed under the name Malus domestica (apple). Its description in RNAcentral is "long non-coding RNA (MDOM_LNC020144)". Lineage: Eukaryota; Viridiplantae; Streptophyta; Magnoliopsida; Rosales; Rosaceae. The record is from RNAcentral.